RNAcentral lists this non-coding RNA (26 nucleotides) under Mus musculus (house mouse). Lineage: Eukaryota; Metazoa; Chordata; Mammalia; Rodentia; Muridae. The record is from RNAcentral.
AACUAACGAUGUGAUACUUUGCUGCA